AAUGCUGAGGUUCUAAAGAGUUAGUUCUCUUGUUUUAUUCUGUAUCCUUCUUUCACAACUUCAGACUGCAAUUACUGCUCUGUUUUAGAGGUUGGAACAAAAACCUGUUUUGACUGAACUUACUCUUUCCCCCCCCUUUACCUUGAAUAAAGUGGGGAUUGGACUUCGUACUGUGUGGUAUCAAAGUGAAAGUGGCAUCCCUUUUGCUAAAUUGUUUUGCUACUACUUUGGGGCUUCUUGACCUAAGUGCUUUUUGCAAUGGGAAAUACACUAUUCAGUGCUAUCUUGCCCUUUAAGGGCAAGGUUCUCUGGUAUGUGAUAACUGGAAUCCAGAGAAAGUCCAGGAACACUUUCCAGUAGCAAGCAAAUCUGGAGACCUGCAUGUUUCAAUUAAAGCUCUAAACAAGGCCAGGAAAGCAGUCUGAAAUAUGCAGCAUGUAUACCACAAUCUUCCCGCAGUGUCUAAACUUAGAAAUCAAAGUAUGUGCUGAAAUGUUUUUAUCUGAAUAUUGGGACAUAAAUAGUGAAUUUUUUCUUUGAUGUGAAUUGCCAGCAUGUCUGUAAUAGAACUGAGUUCUCUGCAAAGUAUAAUACCAUCUAUUCAUAAAUAGGGUAAAUGAAGUCUGUUUUGCAGAAUACCUUAAUAAUUUAGGUAAUUCAGAUGCUAGCUGAGUUCCUGAUACCCCUACUUUCCCUGCGUCUGUCAGACUGCCAUGGGUUUUUUUCUAAGGUUAUAUUUUUUCUAAUCUGAAAGGAAUCUUCUGAGGUUAUUCAAAACAACUGUCUGUGCUUUUUUUUAUUUUCUUCUUUGAAUCAAAAUGGAAUUCUCAUCCUUUUUAGCAACUUCACACCUUGUCUAAUUUCAUGGUUUCUUUUGCUGCAGACAUGACUUUAGCAACCCUCGAUACUCUUCAAAUCCCUUGCUGAUUCUUCUCCAAGUGAGCUUUGGCUUUCUUGACUCUAUUCCUUCAUGCUGAGAGAGUGGCUCUGUAUUCCUCUAGGGUCACUUGCCACUCUUUCCACCUUGUGUGUUCGUUUUUAUGUCUUGAGUUUAGUCAGGAGCUCAUUGUUCAUUCUUGUCAGCUUUCUGCUACCUUUCCUUGAUUUCCCACGCAUCAUGACUGGAGAAGGUGACCACUGAAAAUCAACCAACUCCCCUGGACCCUUCUGUCUAGGACUUUGUGCAGCUAGGAGAAACACACUUCUCUUGCUAAAUUCUUCUGUAUUCACAGUGCACAGUAAGUCCAAGAGGGAAGAAAAAAAAAAAAAAACCAACAAAAAGAAAACAGUUGGAUUUCAUACUAACUGUAAAAUGAAUGUUAAAAUUGUUAAUGUUCAGACAAUUAUCUAUUAUUUAAAUACAUCUUGGGGCUGCUAUGUCAGUAUUUCUAAGCGUAUUUGAGAAAUUAUGGAUGCUGUGGUGGUGGUGGUGGUUCUUUUUUUGCAAAUCUGUGAUGUCCACGUAGUGUAUCAUUUUUGGUAGAUUAUGUAUACAAUAACUUUAUAAAUCUUUCUGUACUUGCUGUUCUCUUUUUGAUAGAUACCAUACCUGGACUAAGCAAAUUUAUCUUCUUGAGGAAAAAAGAAAAGGCACCUUAAAUAAAACCAGUUCUACUUCACAUUGAUUUUUUCAGUGUCUUCUAGGAGUAUGGUCCAGAUCCUUUUAUUCUUGCCCAUUCUGUGUACCUGUAAUAAGUUCUGAUGAAAAACCAAACAGUUUUUCUUUAAUAUUUCUUACUUAAAAAAAAAAGUUUUCUCUUUUUUUUUUUAAUGACGAGGAGGAAGAAGGAGUGCCAACUUUAAGAAAUAAGGUGUCCUACUUAUUGGGGGCUUUUAUUCGGUUUUGUUUUUUUUUUCUUCCUAGAUAAAAAUGGCUACCCAAAAACAGGAAUGCGUGAAUAAAUUAAACAGUAUUCUAAUGGGUGAGACCUUGUACAUCAUCUUAUUCUUCUCUUGCCAGUGUGGAAUUAUUCUCUCUGUGCUACUUGGAAAUGCAGUAUCUAAUUACAAAUUUGCUGAGGUAAUGUCUUUUCCAUAAUUCCCUAUUAUUUUAUCUAUCAUAAUAUAUGAGCAGGUACUCAUUUGACAGUAAUUCUUUUUAAUGACUAGGACACUAAACAAGAACUCUCCCACAUGCAGCUGUGAUCAUGCCACAUUUGUUUGAGGUAAUGCACAGAAAAAAAUGUGGUCCUGUGUAAGAUCUUUGCUUUGAAAAGGCGGAAGAGGAACAAGUUCAGAGACCCUAGACUCAUCUUUGACCUUUAACAUAAAAAAUAGGCAGAUUUUUCAGUUCACUUUCAAAUUUUUUGGUUUCUGGAAUAAGCAGUGUCACAUUAUCAAACACUGAAGCUAAGAAAGCCAGAAACUACCAUUUAGAAAAGUGUAACAACAGCUGACAUUUUCAUAUGAAAAGCACUUAUGUAAAGAAAAUGUCUAACCAUAACUCUUGGCAGCAGUGAAAUGUAGUUUCAGAGCUAAGAUCAACUUGCUCUUGGGAAAUUCAGAAUUUUUGCUGUGUGAGUGCAUCCAUCAGUGAUUUUGUAAGUUACUUUAAGAAAGUCAUUAUCAUUUAUUUAUCAAGUAACAGCAAGGUUAGCUGUAGCUGCUCAGCACUGGCAAAUAGAUCACACAUCACUGGGAGUGGAAAAGAGGGAAUGUGGAAGUCACCAGGUGCAUGGAGCAGACACCAGAAAGGGGUGGUGGGGAAGCCACCAACAAUGGUCUCUUGGAGCUCUUUAAUAAUUUUGUCCAAGACCCUGUACUGAAGCAGCAGUUUCUCAGGUUAGGGAAUAAAGAAUUGUCUCUACUCCAUUUUUACUUGUACUCAUCUAUACAUCUAAAUGCUUGUGUUUUAAGGAAAUACUUUCAUACGUAGAUACAUGGAGACCUUUGUGCCAUAGUAUAGAUAAAGACCUUUCAAUUGAAGGACUUCAUAACUUUGGGGUUUUUUUCAUUAUACAUCAUAAUAUAUUCAGUGAUUAAAAUAAAUUCUUCCUACUUGAUGUCAACUUGCAACAAGAAAUUUGAUUGCAUUGUGAGCUGUACGAGCUGGAUAAACUCUUCCCAUGAGCUUGCAAGGGAGAAAAGAUGAUUCAUUAAGACACAAGCUGUUCUGUCUUUUAGGACAUGAUUCCGUUAUCAAUUCCUUGCACACUGUUCAUGUUCAAAACAAACGGAGUGUCCCCAGAAUAAGUUUUGGUUUAUGUUAAAGCUCUUGCACAGAUGGUGUUUGACAGACUAUUUGACAAGACAGGCAUCCUAAUGGGAUGACAGCUCUGGAAUUCCAGUUGUUUGAGAAAAAGAGCUCUGUGGCCCGGGUGGUGCGGUGUUGCUUCAGGCAUUCCCUUUGUAGGUGAUAAAUGUUAUGGCACAGCUGUUUGCCCCAUGCAGAGAUGCACGGCUGUGCUACUCUGGGAAAGGAGUUUAUCUCUGUGAUGCUGUUUCAGUAUGUUAUGCUGCAGAUUUUCACAACCUUUGUAUUAAGCCAGCAGAGGGUACUCUUAAGCUUCCAAGAGUAAGUUGUUACAUUGGAUGCUUCAUGAGGUUACUGCUUCAAAGAGAGUUAUGGUACUGAGGGAAGGAGCUGGAAAUGCGAGCUCUUAAUUGUAUGAGCCUCAUUGCACUUAAGUAAAAGUGUUGAAUAGGUCAUAUACUUUAUGAAUAAACCUACACUGCUUUCUUUCCAAAAGCACAAACCAAGAUCUUCUCAGUAUAAUAUAAUCUUAGAAAUGGAGAAAUUCAGGUUUGAAGGUACUUCAGGAUGUUUCUCAUCCAACCACCUGCUGAAGCAGGGUCGCUGUGAGAUCUGAGUACCUGCCUUACCCACUCCUGAACACCAGUAAGGAUGGAAACUGCACAUCGUCUUUUGGCAGCUAUCAUCACAGUCAAAUUGUUCUUCUGUGUAUUCAGGCUGAACCCAUCUUGUUCAAACUUACACCUGUUUUCUCUUGCCCUCUUGCCAUACAUUGCUGUGAAUCCUUGAUCUACUGGCUCUGCUCCCACUAAUGCAUUCCAGGAGGCUUCUGGCCCUCUCUUCUGUGAGGGUGCUGCUGUCUCACGUUCAUCUUGCUGCCCACCAGACCCUCAGGGCUUUUUCCACAGAGUUACUCUCCAGCUAUCAGUCCUCAGCCAGUAUCACUGCAAGGGGCUCUUCCUUCCAAAGUGCAGUAAUUUGGGUUUGUUCUCUCUGAGUUCCAUAAGUCUCUGUCAGACCAUUCCUCCACCUUGGCUAGAUCAAAUUUUCUAUUAAUUCUUAUAUUUACACUCCAUUUUUAUUCAAAACAACAGUUCUGCUACCUUUAAUAGAACAAAUUUAAUAGAGUGAAUACUCUAUUAUACAUAUAUAAAUCCUAAAACUUUGUAGACUUGUGGAUUACAGACUUGUACACAAAGUUACUACAAAUAAUGCUACAAAAUUACAUCAUAGAUUCUAACCUUUUCAGUAAAUAAUAGAGGAACAGAGUUUUAUCUUUUCUUUGGAAAAUAAUACUUUGAGAAGAAAAAUACAUAGCUUACAUAUCUCUCGUGCAAUGUGAUAGUCAAGUACAAAGUACAAAUGCACAUUUCACAAUUCUUGACAGAGUGAUGUAAACCUCAUUAGAAGUAUGACAUUUUUAAAGGCUCAAAUCUUUUUCUAAAAACUGUAUAUAUUUAUGUCAUUAUUCAUAGGUACAAAUAGAGAUUAUUUAAAGCACAACUUUCUCCUUCACUAUUUUUCAGUCUUUCCCUCGGCCAGUCAGCUGUAUCACCAGUUUUUCCUCCUGCCUACAAAUGUCUAUUUUCUGCAGAUCACAAGCAGAGCAAUGAGGUGACCAGAAACACCUGGAACCUCUUCAGAAUUCUUGAUGCCACAUCUGGAGCUCCCAGGAUUGUUAAAGCACCGAGACCAAUGGAACCGCUUCUAUUAUUAAUUUACAACCUGCACUUAGCCUCUAGUUGGUGAAAAAAAUAAAGUAGUCUGUCACACUGCA
Pseudopipra pipra is the source of this 4970-nucleotide long non-coding RNA. RefSeq lists it as uncharacterized. The transcript has 2 exons. The record is from RefSeq and is a predicted model, not a curated record. NCBI's taxonomy places the organism in Eukaryota, Metazoa, Chordata, Aves, Passeriformes, Pipridae.